UGGGAGGAGAGAGAGAGGUCUGAUGGGAGGUGAGAGGAGUCUGAUGGGAGGUGAGAGGAGUCUGAUGGGAGGAGAGAGAGGUCUGAUGGGAGGAGAGAGGAGUCUGAUGGGAGGAGAGAGGAGUCUGAUGGGAGGUGAGAGGAGUCUGAUGGGAGGUGAGAGGAGUCUGAUGGGAGGAGAGAGGAGUCUGAUGGGAGGUGAGAGGAGUCUGAUGGGAGGAGAGAGGAGUCUGAUGGGAGGAGAGAGGAGUCUGAUGGGAGGUGAGAGGAGUCUGAUGGGAGAUGAGGGGUCUGAUGGGAGGAGAGAGGAGUCUGAUGGGAGAUGAGAGAGAGGUCUGAUGGGAGGUGAGAGGAGUCUGAUGGGAGGAGAGAGAAGUCUGACGGGAGGUGAGAGAGAAGUCUGACGGGAGGUGAGAGAGGUCUGAUGGGAGGUGAGAGGAGUCUGAUGGGAGGUGAGAGGAGUCUGAUGGGAGGUGAGAGGAGUCUGAUGGGAGGAGAGAGAGGUCUGAUGGGAGGUGAGAGAGGUCUGAUGGGAGGUGAGAGAGGUCUGAUGGGAGGUGAGAGAGGUCUGAUGGGAGGAGAAAGAGGUCUGAUGGGAGGAGAGAAAGGUCUGAUGGGAGGUGAGAGGAGUCUGAUGGGAGGAGAGAGAGGUCUGAUGGGAGGUGAGAGAGGUCUGAUGGGAGGUGAGAGGAGUCUGAUGGGAGGUGAGAGGAGUCUGAUGGGAGGUGAGAGGAGUCUGAUGGGAGGUGAGAGGAGUCUGAUGGGAGGUGAGAGGAGUCUGAUGGGAGAUGAGGGGUCUGAUGGGAGGAGAGAGAGGUCUGAUGGGAGGUGAGAGGAGUCUGAUGGGAGGUGAGAGAGGUCUGAUGGGAGGUGAGAGUAGUCUGAUGGGAGAGGAGGGGUCUUAUGGGAGGAGAGAGAGAUCUGACGGGAGGUGAGAGAGAGGUCUGAUGGGAGGUGAGAGAGGUCUGAUGGGAGGAGAGAGAGGUCUGAUGGGAGAUGAGGGGUCUGAUGGGAGGAGAGAGAGGUCUGAUGGGAGAUGAGGGGUCUGAUGGGAGGAGAGAGAGGUCUGAUGGGAGGUGAGAGUGGUCUGAUGGGAGGAGAGAGAGGUCUGAUGGGAGGAGAGAGAGGUCUGAUGGGAGGAGAGAGGGGUCUGAUGGGAGGAGAGAGAGGUCUGAUGGGAGGAGAGAGGGGUCUGAUGGGAGGAGAGAGAGGUCUGAUGGGAGGAGAGAGGAGUUUGAUGGGAGGAGAGAGAAGUCUGAUGGGAGGAGAGAGGUCUGAUGGGAGGAGA
Molecule: long non-coding RNA, 1287 nt
Organism: Oncorhynchus keta (chum salmon)
Lineage: Eukaryota; Metazoa; Chordata; Actinopteri; Salmoniformes; Salmonidae
Exons: 4
Source: RefSeq, a predicted model, not a curated record